CACGUAGGGCGCGAGCGUUGUCCGGAAUUAUUGGGCGUAAAGAGCUCGUAGGCGGCCUGUUGCGUCCGCUGUGAAAGCCCGGGGCUUAACCCCGGGUCUGCAGUGGAUACGGGCAGGCUAGAGGUAGGUAGGGGAGAAUGGAAUUCCCGGUGUAGCGGUGAAAUGCGCAGAUAUCGGGAGGAACACCGGUGGCGAAGGCGGUUCUCUGGGCCAUUACUGACGCUGAGGAGCGAAAGCGUGGGGAGCGAACAGG
Molecule: ribosomal RNA, 253 nt
Filed under: uncultured bacterium
Lineage: Bacteria
Description: partial 16S ribosomal RNA
Rfam family: Bacterial small subunit ribosomal RNA
Source: RNAcentral